RNAcentral lists this ribosomal RNA (510 nucleotides) under uncultured bacterium. RNAcentral describes it as "partial 16S ribosomal RNA". It matches the Rfam family "Bacterial small subunit ribosomal RNA", at positions 28 to 507 of the family's 1533-position model. The record is from RNAcentral.
GACGAACGCUGGCGGCGUGCUUAACACAUGCAAGUCGAACGAAGAGCGAUGGAAGCUUGCUUCUAUCAAUCUUAGUGGCGAACGGGUGAGUAACGCGUAAUCAACCUGCCCUUCAGGGGGGGACAACAGUUGGAAACGACUGCUAAUGCCGCAUACGAUCUGACCUCGGCAUCGAGGAUAGAUGAAAGGUGGCCUCUAUUUAUAAGCUAUCACUGAAGGAGGGGAUUGCGUCUGAUUAGCUAGUUGGAGGGGUAACGGCCCACCAAGGCGAUGAUCAGUAGCCGGUCUGAGAGGAUGAACGGCCACAUUGGGACUGAGACACGGCCCAGACUCCUACGGGAGGCAGCAGUGGGGAAUCUUCCGCAAUGGACGAAAGUCUGACGGAGCAACGCCGCGUGAGUGAUGACGGCCUUCGGGUUGUAAAGCUCUGUUAAUCGGGACGAAAGGCCUUCUUGCGAAUAGUUAGAAGGAUUGACGGUACCGGAAUAGAAAGCCACGGCUAACUACGUG